CUCUUUUAUGGGGUGACUGCGUACCUUUUGUAUAAUGGGUCAGCGACUUAUAUUCUGUAGCAAGGUUAACCGAAUAGGGGAGCCGAAGGGAAACCGAGUCUUAACUGGGCGUUAAGUUGCAGGGUAUAGACCCGAAACCCGGUGAUCUAGCCAUGGGCAGGUUGAAGGUUGGGUAACACUAACUGGAGGACCGAACCGACUAAUGUUGAAAAAUUAGCGGAUGACUUGUGGCUGGGGGUGAAAGGCCAAUCAAACCGGGAGAUAGCUGGUUCUCCCCGAAAGCUAUUUAGGUAGCGCCUCGUGAAUUCAUCUCCGGGGGUAGAGCACUGUUUCGGCAAGGGGGUCAUCCCGACUUACCAACCCGAUGCAAACUGCGAAUACCGGAGAAUGUUAUCACGGGAGACACACGGCGGGUGCUAACGUCCGUCGUGAAGAGGGAAACAACCCAGACCGCCAGCUAAGGUCCCAAAGUCAUGGUUAAGUGGGAAACGAUGUGGGAAGGCCCAGACAGCCAGGAUGUUGGCUUAGAAGCAGCCAUCAUUUAAAGAAAGCGUAAUAGCUCACUGGUCGAGUCGGCCUGCGCGGAAGAUGUAACGGGGCUAAACCAUGCACCGAAGCUGCGGCAGCGACACUGUGUGUUGUUGGGUAGGGGAGCGUUCUGUAAGCCUGUGAAGGUGUGCUGUGAGGCAUGCUGGAGGUAUCAGAAGUGCGAAUGCUGACAUAAGUAACGAUAAAGCGGGUGAAAAGCCCGCUCGCCGGAAGACCAAGGGUUCCUGUCCAACGUUAAUCGGGGCAGGGUGAGUCGACCCCUAAGGCGAGGCCGAAAGGCGUAGUCGAUGGGAAACAGGUUAAUAUUCCUGUACUUGGUGUUACUGCGAAGGGGGGACGGAGAAGGCUAUGUUGGCCGGGCGACGGUUGUCCCGGUUUAAGCGUGUAGGCUGGUUUUCCAGGCAAAUCCGGAAAAUCAAGGCUGAGGCGUGAUGACGAGGCACUACGGUGCUGAAGCAACAAAUGCCCUGCUUCCAGGAAAAGCCUCUAAGCAUCAGGUAACAUCAAAUCGUACCCCAAACCGACACAGGUGGUCAGGUAGAGAAUACCAAGGCGCUUGAGAGAACUCGGGUGAAGGAACUAGGCAAAAUGGUGCCGUAACUUCGGGAGAAGGCACGCUGAUAUGUAGGUGAAGUCCCUCGCGGAUGGAGCUGAAAUCAGUCGAAGAUACCAGCUGGCUGCAACUGUUUAUUAAAAACACAGCACUGUGCAAACACGAAAGUGGACGUAUACGGUGUGACGCCUGCCCGGUGCCGGAAGGUUAAUUGAUGGGGUCAGCGCAAGCGAAGCUCUUGAUCGAAGCCCCGGUAAACGGCGGCCGUAACUAUAACGGUCCUAAGGUAGCGAAAUUCCUUGUCGGGUAAGUUCCGACCUGCACGAAUGGCGUAAUGAUGGCCAGGCUGUCUCCACCCGAGACUCAGUGAAAUUGAACUCGCUGUGAAGAUGCAGUGUACCCGCGGCAAGACGGAAAGACCCCGUGAACCUUUACUAUAGCUUGACACUGAACAUUGAGCCUUGAUGUGUAGGAUAGGUGGGAGGCUUUGAAGUGUGGACGCCAGUCUGCAUGGAGCCGACCUUGAAAUACCACCCUUUAAUGUUUGAUGUUCUAACGUGGACCCGUGAUCCGGGUUGCGGACAGUGUCUGGUGGGUAGUUUGACUGGGGCGGUCUCCUCCUAAAGAGUAACGGAGGAGCACGAAGGUUGGCUAAUCCUGGUCGGACAUCAGGAGGUUAGUGCAAUGGCAUAAGCCAGCUUGACUGCGAGCGUGACGGCGCGAGCAGGUGCGAAAGCAGGUCAUAGUGAUCCGGUGGUUCUGAAUGGAAGGGCCAUCGCUCAACGGAUAAAAGGUACUCCGGGGAUAACAGGCUGAUACCGCCCAAGAGUUCAUAUCGACGGCGGUGUUUGGCACCUCGAUGUCGGCUCAUCACAUCCUGGGGCUGAAGUAGGUCCCAAGGGUAUGGCUGUUCGCCAUUUAAAGUGGUACGCGAGCUGGGUUUAGAACGUCGUGAGACAGUUCGGUCCCUAUCUGCCGUGGGCGCUGGAGAACUGAGGGGGGCUGCUCCUAGUACGAGAGGACCGGAGUGGACGCAUCACUGGUGUUCGGGUUGUCAUGCCAAUGGCACUGCCCGGUAGCUAAAUGCGGAAGAGAUAAGUGCUGAAAGCAUCUAAGCACGAAACUUGCCCCGAGAUGAGUUCUCCCUGACCCUUUAAGGGUCCUGAAGGAACGUUGAAGACGACGACGUUGAUAGGCCGGGUGUGUAAGCGCAGCGAUGCGUUGAGCUAACCGGUACUAAUGAACCGUGAGGCUUAACCUU
This 2363-nucleotide ribosomal RNA is filed under the name Escherichia coli. Its description in RNAcentral is "bacterial LSU rRNA". It matches the Rfam family "Bacterial large subunit ribosomal RNA", at positions 581 to 2925 of the family's 2925-position model. Lineage: Bacteria; Pseudomonadati; Pseudomonadota; Gammaproteobacteria; Enterobacterales; Enterobacteriaceae. The record is from RNAcentral.